Steccherinum ochraceum is the source of this 93-nucleotide non-coding RNA. The record is from the annotation of a GenBank genome assembly. NCBI's taxonomy places the organism in Eukaryota, Fungi, Basidiomycota, Agaricomycetes, Polyporales, Steccherinaceae.
GACACCAUAGCCAAGUGGUUACGGCGACAGAUUCGAAUACUUCGAAGCAUCUGUUGGGGUUUCCCCGCGUAGGUUCGAAUCCUGCUGGUGUCG